This 405-nucleotide ribosomal RNA is filed under the name uncultured bacterium. Its description in RNAcentral is "bacterial SSU rRNA". It matches the Rfam family "Bacterial small subunit ribosomal RNA", at positions 917 to 1322 of the family's 1533-position model. The record is from RNAcentral.
GGACCCGCACAAGCGGUGGAGCAUGUGGUUUAAUUCGAUGCAACGCGAAGAACCUUACCUGGUCUUGACAUCCUGCGAACUUUCUAGAAAUAGAUUGGUGCCUUCGGGAACGCAGUGACAGGUGCUGCAUGGCUGUCGUCAGCUCGUGUCGUGAGAUGUUGGGUUAAGUCCCGUAACGAGCGCAACCCCUAUCCUUAUUUGCCAGCACAUCAUGGUGGGAACUAUAAGGAGACUGCCGGUGAUAAACCGGAGGAAGGCGGGGACGACGUCAAGUCAUCAUGGCCCUUACGACCAGGGCUACACACGUGCUACAAUGGGAAGGACAAAGAGCCGCGAAGCCGCGAGGUGUAGCUAAUCUCCAAAAGUCGUCUCAGUUCGGAUUGUCCUCUGCAACUCGAGGGCAUG